CCUCACUUCUCCCCAAUCUUCCACCCGCGCGCCGCCCUCACUCCGACCUCGGCAAAAAUCAGGCGGCCGCCGCACGCUCGCUCCUCCCCAAAUUCGCUCGGCGCGCUCCUCCGCCCUCGUCAAUUCGCCGCCACGCCAGCUCGUCCCAGCCAAAUCGCUCGCGCUCGCUGGUCCCUGCCAAAUCCAUAUCCCCACCGCGCCUGCUCCAUCUCCCCAAAUCACCACCGUGCCCUCCCUCUCCCAACCUCACGCAAUCUACUUCCUCCCCCAAAUCUCGCGCCGCCUCCUUCGUUUGCUGCUAGCUCAGCCCUUGCCGCCCCAAUCUUCUCCACGUUGCUUUUCCCUCGCCCCCGCAGCCUCAGUCUCCUGCAUCGCCGGUCACUUUGCUGCAAGAACAAGGCGUCCUUUCCCCUAUGUAUUCGCUCAAGCUCGUCAACUGCGUGGAACUGGGGUCCAUCCAAGUUUGGAUUCCAUCUUCGGCUGGUGCUCCACCGUAUGGGUUCAUUGAGAAGACAAACAAGGCAUUCUUGAAUGCUUGACGGGUUUUUGGGAAGAAAGCAUUUAAAUCUACAUUUCAAUGAAAUCAAGAGGCAAUAGUUUUGAUAUGGAUCUUGAAGAAGUUAUGCUUAUGGAAGCAAUUUGGCUCUCUAUACAGGAUCAGGAAGCUUUGGGAAAUCCAGGAUGUGUUGCCACUACUCCACCAUCAAUUCAAAGGUCUUAUGAUGGUUCUAUGACAACAACGGCUGAAGCAGCUUCUUCUGGCGGAUUUGCCUGUGCAGUCGCAGCUUUAGCGGAACAACAGCAUAUUCACGGAGAGUCUUCUAGCACACCAACUUGCCAGACAACAAGGUUUGACACCCUCAGCAGAUCAGACAGAUCCUAUACGGAGGAUCCAAGCAUAGUUGGGAGCAGUUCUUCAGACUCCAGGGUUGAGGAACCAUCAAGCAGUAGGACACACCAAAUAGUAGAGGGUGCCGAGUCUUCUAAUGAUCAGUGGUCAGAGAUCGCUGAGGACGGUACUAGUCAUGCUGGGUCUGAUGUUACAGCGGAGGCCAUUGCUGCCAAUUCAGCCGCCUCAGUUCGAACUAUGAAUAGCACAUAAAGCUGGACUAGAGGCCUAUAAACACAUGGUUCCAAAUUCUUUCACUGCUCGAUGAGCUAGCAGUUCUCCGUCACAACUGUCCGCCUCCCGCAGUCCUCAUUCAAGCACCGCCCCCGGUCGCCGGCCGCCGCCCCCAGUCACUAGCCCACCGCCUGCCGACGUGGCCCCCUCGUCCCCGCGUCCAACCACUGGGGCAACUGGACCUGCCUCCUGACCACCGCUGCGCUGGGCAUCUGGUCGGAGAAGCGGACCCCGGUGGGGAAGGCGCUGAGCGGGGCGCUGGUGAGCGUGCUGCUGGGUCUGACGGCCAGCAGUGCCGGCGUGGUGGCGGCGGACGCCCUGGCGUACCGCGUGGUGCUCGACUACUUCCUGCCGCUCGCCAUCCCGCUGCUGCUCUUCCGCACCAACCUCCACCGCGUGCUCCACUCCACCGGCGUGCUGCUGCUGGCCUUCCUGCUUGGGUCCGGCAGUCGACGAGCAGAACGCUGUGAACACACAAGUCCCAGGUUACUACGCUGGGCAUGUGCAAGGGAGGCGAGAACCUGCUGCAGAGCCCAACAACCCUGCUGACACUGCGGUUCAACAGAGCCGAGAACAAGACUUUCUUGCAAGAGGGUUUGGAUGCUUCGCUGGCAGUAGUGGAAAUGCGAACUAAACCCAUAGGACAUCCCUGCUCGGAGCUCAGUAGAGGACUAGGCAUCUGGAUGGGUUGCAGGAACCUUUCAGAUUCUCGGUUCUAUGAAACUUGUUCUUCCGCAUUUCCGUUGUAAUUUUGGACCAUAUUACGGGCACAAUGAGGUUGUUUCUUGUGUUACCAUUGUUUUGUGUUACCAUUGUUUUCACUAAGCCUACUUAUGUAAACCAAUGGAAUUUCUUCCUAUAGUACAUGUCUGCGAUGAAUUGGAGCAUCUUCCUACGGAGCACCACAUACGAAUUAGGAAACAUGUUAUUUUGUUGCGAGCAAUUUGCAUAUAAACUUACCCACAGACCUUUAGGGGUAUUAUAUUUAGGGGUAUUAUAGGUAUUUUUUGAAUAGCUUACAGUUCACGGCUGCUCUAACCAAACGGUCUUCUGCUUUUUUCCACAGUUACUUUUCCACAGCUCACAGCAGCUUUUCCAAGUCAUAGCCCAACCAAACACACCCUUAAUUGAUUACUGAAUUUUCUGUUGCUCGUAGUUCUCCAUAGAACAGUUGGGAAAUUGGACUUGAGAAAUGCUUGAGGAACUUCAUGGUGGUGCCAGGCAGCAGCUUAUCGACAACAAGGUGAUCAAAGUGCUGAUCCAGUGUUUGAUUUGUUUUUUAUUAUAUGGAGAUGGCUUUAUUGUUUUGGAGGCAAACAAUCCAAAUAUGUAGCUAGGAAGUGUAUGAUUGAUGGACAUCAUGAGCUACUGAUGUUACGUGGCUACAUGAAUUGAA
Long non-coding RNA from Setaria italica (foxtail millet), 2519 nucleotides. RefSeq lists it as uncharacterized. NCBI's taxonomy places the organism in Eukaryota, Viridiplantae, Streptophyta, Magnoliopsida, Poales, Poaceae. The transcript is spliced from 9 exons. The record is from RefSeq and is a predicted model, not a curated record.